GAUGAACGCUAGCGACAGGCUUAACACAUGCAAGUCGAGGGGCAACGGAGAGGAAAGCUUGCUUUCCUCUGCCGGCGACCGGCGCACGGGUGAGUAACACGUAUGCAACCUACCCCUGGCAGGGGGAUAACCCGGAGAAAUCCGGACUAAUACCGCGUAACACCGCGGGGAGACAUCUCCCGGCGGUCAAAGGAAGCGAUUCCGGCCAGGGAUGGGCAUGCGGCGCAUUAGGCAGUUGGCGGGGUAACGGCCCACCAAACCGACGAUGCGUAGGGGUUCUGAGAGGAAGGUCCCCCACACUGGUACUGAGACACGGACCAGACUCCUACGGGAGGCAGCAGUGGGGGAUAUUGCACAAUGGGGGAAACCCUGAUGCAGCGACGCCGCGUGGAGGAAGAAGGGUUUUCGGAUUGUAAACUCCUGUCGUUAGGGACGAUAAUGACGGUACCUAACAAGAAAGCACCGGCUAACUACGUG
RNAcentral lists this ribosomal RNA (477 nucleotides) under uncultured bacterium. Its description in RNAcentral is "bacterial SSU rRNA". It matches the Rfam family "Bacterial small subunit ribosomal RNA", at positions 28 to 507 of the family's 1533-position model. The record is from RNAcentral.